UGAGAAAGCUUGUGGUGGCACCUCGUUGGCUGUGUGCUGUAUCUCUCAUGGUUAGGUUCUUUGGGGUGCACUGAUUGCUAGUAUGAUGACUGAAUGAGGGUUAAGUGAUAGCUGGAGUAAAGCUAGAAGGUGCUGAUUGUGUGUCAGGCUUUGUCCCUGUUUUCCUGCUGUGCUUUAGAUCAGUUCUUGAUAGCAUUUCUAUUGAGGCAUCACUUGAUGUAGUUGAGUACAGAGAGAUGGGCAGCAUGCUGUUGGGUUUUGAAACUGAGCUCUCUGAGCAAGGAACAGGUCUGGAUCUCGUGGCUGCAGAAACUAUCCCUGUAAUACUUGCUGGUUUGGCGAAAGAGAAGAGGGGGUGCUGUGACUCACAGCUGAAUGCAUGCUGCUGCUUUGGAGCAUCAAUGGCUCAGCUCCAAAGCACAAUAAAACUGAAGGCCAGAAAAGGACAGGCAGAUCAUAUACUUGCUUAAGCAUAUCUCACAUCACUUGAAGACAAAGGCAGAAGUAUUGCUUACCCUUUUGACCUCAGAUGAACAUUUUUAUGUUGAAGAGAUAAAGGAUUGGUUUUGAACCUGUACGUGUGAUGCUGACUCCACAAACAUUUUCCUAGCUCAAGCAGUGAAGAAAUAGCUCCAGUGCUUUCUCCAGGAAAAGAAUUCUUCUCUAAUAUCAAGUAUUUGUGAAAGAUGAGUGAAUACUCCUGACAGAUGUCACCAGGGAAAACGAGCCUGUAGAUACUAAUGAGCUGGAUGGCAUUGUUCUGAGAGCAAGCUCAGCUCAGUCCCUGGACAGACAGGCAGCAAGGCCUGGGAAAGACAUACAAACUGAAGGUUGUGUGUAAUGGUGUUCCUCAAAGUUCCACUUGUUUAUGGAGACUUUGUCAUCUUGUUGUCUGAAAAUCCCAGGCACUUUGUUUUCCAACUCAGUACUGCUGCUCUGAAAUGUGUAAGCAGUGAUUUCUUCUCUCUCUUUUAUUCCAGAUCAGUUUUAAGUGUUUCUGUUGUCUGUGUGAAAGGAGACUUAUAAUAUCAUUUAGAAGUGUCAAUUGUUCUGUCAUCUUGCUUUUACCAGAGGAGUCUAUUUGAGCUGUUAUUUGUCCUUUAGAAAAGAUGUUCCAUCUUCUCAGGAUGUAUUUCAUAUUAUGAGGGAAAUUUGA
Long non-coding RNA from Lagopus leucura (white-tailed ptarmigan), 1156 nucleotides. RefSeq lists it as uncharacterized. The transcript is spliced from 4 exons. Lineage: Eukaryota; Metazoa; Chordata; Aves; Galliformes; Phasianidae. The record is from RefSeq and is a predicted model, not a curated record.